Molecule: ribosomal RNA, 59 nt
Filed under: Ilyonectria sp.
Lineage: Eukaryota; Fungi; Ascomycota; Sordariomycetes; Hypocreales; Nectriaceae
Description: partial 28S ribosomal RNA
Rfam family: Eukaryotic large subunit ribosomal RNA
Source: RNAcentral
GUUUGACCUCGGAUCAGGUAGGAAUACCCGCUGAACUUAAGCAUAUCAAUAAGCGGAGG